GAUGAACGCUGGCGGCGUGCCUAAUACAUGCAAGUCGAGCGAACAGACGAGUAUCUUGCUCCUCUGACGUUAGCGGCGGACGGGUGAGUAACACGUGGAUAACCUACCUAUAUGACUGGGAUAACUUCGGGCAACCGGAGCUAAUACCGGAUAAUAUAUUGAACCGCAUGGUUCAAUAGUGAAAGACGGUUUUGCUGUCACUUAUAGAUGUAUCCGCGCCGCAUUAGCUAGUUGGUAAGGUAACGGCUUACCAAGGCAACGAUGCGUAGCCGACCUGAGAGGGUGAUCGGCCACACUGGAACUGAGACACGGUCCAGGCUCCUACGGGAGGCAGCAGUAGGGAAUCUUCCGCAAUGGGCGAAAGCCUGACGGAGCAACGCCGCGUGAGUGAUGAAGGUCUUCGGAUCGUAAAACUCUGUUAUUAGGGAAGAACAAAUGUGUAAGUAACUAUGCACGUAUUGACGGUACCUAAUCAGAAAGCCACGGCUAACUACGUG
RNAcentral lists this ribosomal RNA (497 nucleotides) under uncultured bacterium. RNAcentral describes it as "partial 16S ribosomal RNA". It matches the Rfam family "Bacterial small subunit ribosomal RNA", at positions 28 to 507 of the family's 1533-position model. The record is from RNAcentral.